Molecule: long non-coding RNA, 800 nt
Organism: Callithrix jacchus (white-tufted-ear marmoset)
Lineage: Eukaryota; Metazoa; Chordata; Mammalia; Primates; Cebidae
Source: RefSeq, a predicted model, not a curated record
CCCACCAGCCGCAGUUUGCUAUUUCCUUCUGGAAACAUCUGGAAGCUUACAUCUCUGAUUUGACAAGCUGAUUUUGGUCCCUCUGUUUCUGACCUAUUUGUUUUCUAUUUGCUGAAUCCCACAGAUCCUGACGUCUGUGUGCUGGACCCUCACCCAGUCACCCAGGCCCUAUAUCCGUGGUGUCUGCUGCCUGGGCUGGACUCUGGCUCCAAGUGGCCCUGGCACAGGCACACACCCAUGGAGAUGGAGAAGAGGCACAUGGAAACCGGUGGAGAGCAGUGAGCAGAGAGUGGAGCUGCCCAAGAGAGAAGCAACAAUCAUCAACACAGAAGAUGUCCGUGAUCAAAGGUGUGGGGUUUUCCUAUACACACCAAGUGGCAGACACCAGCUGGGUGUCCUCCAAUUCCACUCCAACACUGUCUACCUGGAGAGAGUGUCAGAACCCACAGUUUGGGGGCUCAAUCCCAAGAAUGCCCUCUCACCCACCCCAAGACACCAUUUGGACAUGGAUGAAUCUGGAGGACAUCAUCCUCAGCAAACUGACACAAGAACAGAAAAUGAAACACCGCAUAUUCUCACUCAUAUGCGGGUGAUGAAAAAUGAGAACACAUGAACACAGGGAGAGGAGUACUAAACACUGGGGUCUAUUGGGGGGAAAAGGGGAGGGCCAGUGGGAGGGGGAGGUAGGGAGGGAUAACCUGGGGAGAAAUGCCAAAUGUGGGUGAAGGGGAGAAAGGAAGCAAGACACACUGCCAUGUGUGUACCUAUGCAACUGUCUUGCAUGCUCUGCUCAUGUACCC